RNAcentral lists this ribosomal RNA (72 nucleotides) under Drosophila persimilis. RNAcentral describes it as "partial 16S ribosomal RNA". The record is from RNAcentral. RNAcentral also lists the same sequence under 1 other name. Lineage: Eukaryota; Metazoa; Arthropoda; Insecta; Diptera; Drosophilidae.
UUAUAAUAUUUUAGUACGAAAGGACCAAAUAUUAAAAUAACUAUAUUUUUAAAAAAGAAUAUUAUUAAUAUA